RNA transcript from Nicotiana attenuata, 2389 nucleotides. It is a transcript of the gene named U-box domain-containing protein 19-like, with no coding region annotated. Lineage: Eukaryota; Viridiplantae; Streptophyta; Magnoliopsida; Solanales; Solanaceae. The record is from RefSeq and is a predicted model, not a curated record. The transcript has a single exon.
AGGUCCUAAUUCCAAAUUGUUAAACUUCCCAAUCUUGAAAUGAAAACAAAGCAAAUAUCAAAAGCCAAAAAUUGAAAAAAAUCAAAGAGAGAACCUUCAAAUUUAAACCUUAAACGCUUUAGUUUGUUCAAUGAUUCAAAGAUUUGAACGGAAUGAUCGCCGGAUUUUGACAUUCCCGGCGGUUCAUCCCUGUGAGAAUAUAUCUCCGGCAACCCUUUUGGAUUCUUUAAUUACUCUGUCUCGUAACAUAUGCAAUUUCAAAUCCAAAUUCUUUGCAACUCAAAGGAAAAAUGUCCGAGAAACCAUUAGACAAGUGGGAAUCCUCUUGAUUUUUUUCGAGGAAAUCCGAGAUAAUCUUCCUAGUAUUAGAGAUUCCAUUAUUCUUUGUUUUGCAGAACUCCACACAACAUUCCAAAAGCUAAAAUUUCUAUUAGAUGAUUGUACGCGUGAAGGGGCAAGAACUUGGAUGCUUAUGAAAUCCCACUCUGUAGCGAGCCAAUUUCGAGCUUUGAUUAGAACUGUGGCUACGGCACUUGAUAUUCUUCCUUUGAAUUCUCUUAAUAUUUCUAGAGAAAUCAAGGAGUUAGUGAUAAUGGUGGCUAAUCAAGCACAGAGGGCAAAAAUGGAGCUCGACCCUGAAGAUGAAUAUGCCAUGAAAAGGGUAAUUCUAAUUGUGAACCAAUUUUGAAAACAAGUACGAGCCAGACACGUGUAUAAUCAAGAAAGUUCUGGAUUAUCUUAAGAUCACCACUUGGGCUCAGUGCCAUAAGGAGAUUAAAUUCUUGGAAGAAGAAAUUAAUUUUGAAUGCUCAGAGAAUUACGAAAGAGAAGUGCCAAUGUUAAGCAGUUUAGUAGGAUUCUUGAGCUAUUGUAGAGGAAUUCUGUUCGAGGACUCUGUUUAUGGCAACACUGAUCAAUCAGAUGGAACAUCCAAUCUUGAAACUUUGACUUGCUUGAAUCCUGAGGAUUUUCGAUGCCCGAUUUCUCUUGAACUCAUGACGGAUCCUGUAACAGUUUCCACGGGUCAAACCUAUGAUCGUGCUUCGAUUCAAAGAUGGCUCAAGUCAGGGAACCUCAUCUGUCCCAAAACAGGGGAGAUUCUACAAAGCACAGAAUUAUUACCUAAUUCGACUCUGCGGAAGCUCAUUCAACAAUUCUGCGCUGAUAAUGGAAUAUCCUUAGCUAAAUCAAGGAAGAAAAAUCGCGAUAUAUCGCGUACUAUUUUACCAGGAAGUCCAGCAGCUGCUGAAGCAAUCAAAUUCCUCUCCGAAUUUCUUGCGAGCAGACUUUAUUUUGGUUCAGAUCAGCAGAUAACAAAGGCUGCUUAUGAAAUUCGAUUGUUGGCAAAAUCAAAUAUUUUCAAUAGGUCUGUUUUAAUUGAAGCUGCAUCUAUCCCAGCACUCUUACAGAUUCUUAACACAAAUGAUCCAAUUAUGCAAGAGAACUCAAUUUCUGCUUUGCUCAAGCUAUCAAAACAUUCAAAUGGAAAGGAAGUGAUCAUGGAAAAUGGAGGCCUGAAUUUGAUUAUCCGUGUUCUUAAGGAUGGGUUAAAGGUAGAAGCUAAGCAAAUUGCAGCUGCAAUAAUUUUCUACAUAUCUUCACCUCGCGAAUACCGAAAGGCAAUCGGAGAAAAUCCAGAAGUCUUUCCUGCUUUAGUUGAACUCAUCAAAGACGGAACGAGUUGUGGAAAAAAGAACGCCAUUGUUGCGGUAUUCGGGUUACUGCUAAGUCACAGGAACCAUGAGAGAGCACUUGGAGCUGGAACAGUUCGAGCACUAGUUGAUCUUUUAGCUUCCUCGGAUAAAGUUGAACUAAACACAGAUGCACUGGCAGUUCUAGCUUCAUUAGCAGAAAAAACUGAAGGGUCAUUUGCAAUUUUAGAAGCUUCAGCAUUACCAGUAAUAUUGAGUCAAUUACAGAAUACAACAUCUCGAGCGGGGAAAGAGUACAGUGUUUCCAUUUUAUUAUAUUUAUGCAUCAACUGUGGCGCGGAGGUAUUAGCCGCUCUGGUAAGAGAGCAGGCGCUUAUGCCACUUCUUUAUUCACUUCUGACUGAAGGAACCAACCAAGCGAAGAAGCGGACACGCUCUCUUAUCAAGAUUCUACAGAAAUUUUGUGAAACAAGUACUUCUAGGUUUGUGAGUGAAGUUCCACAAGAACAAUUUAUUGAUGUAAGGUGAACGGUCGCAGGAUUUAUUUUUCUUCUCCUGCUCCGUGUAAAUAUAUCCUCAUUGUGGUAGUUAUAUAUGUGUCAAGUUUAGCUCCUCUCUUUUUUUCAGGAGCUAAAUGCAGAGUAGGUCAUUGGGUUUGGGAACUUAUACCUGAACAAAUUUGUAACACAAUUCUUUGUUGUGAUAAAUAAUGAAUUUGUUCUUGUGUGAUAACAAAA